RNAcentral lists this ribosomal RNA (433 nucleotides) under uncultured bacterium. RNAcentral's name for it is "partial 16S ribosomal RNA". It matches the Rfam family "Bacterial small subunit ribosomal RNA", at positions 29 to 507 of the family's 1533-position model. The record is from RNAcentral.
AACGAACGCUGGCGGCAUGCCUAACACAUGCAAGUCGAACGAGACCUUCGGGUCUAGUGGCGCACGGGUGCGUAACGCGUGGGAACCUGCCCUUAGGUUCGGAAUAACUCCCCGAAAGGGGUGCUAAUACCGGAUAAUGUCUUCGGACCAAAGAUUUAUCGCCUUUGGAUGGGCCCGCGUUGGAUUAGCUAGUUGGUAGGGUAAAAGCCUACCAAGGCGACGAUCCAUAGCUGGUCUGAGAGGAUGAUCAGCCACACUGGGACUGAGACACGGCCCAGACUCCUACGGAAGGCAGCAGUGGGGAAUAUUGGACAAUGGGCGAAAGACUAAUCCAGCAAUGCCGCGUAAGUGAUGAAGGCCUUAGGGUUGUAAAGCUCUUUUACACGGGAUGAUAAUGACAGUACCGGGAGAAUAAGCUCCGGCUAACUCCGUG